This is a long non-coding RNA of Lolium perenne, 3693 nucleotides long. RefSeq lists it as uncharacterized. The record is from RefSeq and is a predicted model, not a curated record. Lineage: Eukaryota; Viridiplantae; Streptophyta; Magnoliopsida; Poales; Poaceae.
UGUGAUUUUCAGCUCCUUUUGAAUUUCAGUGAUAACUAUUAAAGGCUAAUUUUAUUUCAGGGAGUAAAGCAUCAGUGUAAACCCAUUAUUGAAGUGGUCAUGGCUACGGAAGCUAGCCUGCACUUGAUCUCCAGAUUAUGUUGGAGGUUACUAGCAGGAAAGAUUGUUAUCAUUCGAUCGCGUUUUGGUGGUUUAAAGAGGAUGUGCACAGGGAAGGCGGCUUUCGCUGGUGUGUGGUCAUAAUAUACUACUGGUGUUUCAGAUCUUCACAGUUUGAGCACUCAAAAAGCAAAGUACCAACAGGGGACGUUGUAUUCUUCAAAGGUAUGGUCCGUGAGGCAAUCAACAAUAAAUCAGCUGAUCAAAAGAGAGGAAAGACAAUCACGGUCUCUGAGUGGAUCAUCUCACGGUACAUCACUAAAAAGGUCAUGACCUAUUGACGUAUCAACUUUUUUACUUGUUGCAGAGUGAUCAGUUCUUUUGACUCACAUAAUAAUUUUAGAUGUGCAAAUGUAAUGCCGUAGCUUAUAUGCCUACCAUAAGUAUAUAUUACAGCUCAUCGCAAGUCACUUUUUCCUGAAUGUUUGUAUUAGCUUAUGUGAUCAAUAUGUAAUUAAUAAGUAUGUAUUGUUUAUAAUGGAAGUCAUGGAAUUAAAACGAAGCUCUUCUGAUGUACAAUUCAAAAUAAAUCUAUGGACUGAACACACGCCGGUACUAUAGGGGAAACACACCAUGAUUUUUUGAUAUUCUGUUUUGAUUUUGUUCGUGCAAGUGGAAAAGUACAAAUCUUGAUGAAACACCAUGUUUUUCUUUCAUACAAGUCGAUGGCAUGGCUUUGCACUUGGUAAACAAUCUACAUCUAUGGAUUAUAUGUCUAGAGGUGCUUGUUGUUUCACCACGGACAUGUUAUAUAAGCUAUAUAUUGUAAAGCUAAUAUUUAUCCUUCAAUAUAUAAUGGAAGUUUAUUUUGAUUUCUGUUUUCUGCAUCUUUGGUAAAUAUGCUAGCUCAAAAAGGGAGAUCUUAUUUUACCAAUGAUCACAUGGUAUGCGGUUGCCCAUUAUACCAAAAAUAGAUUGGGUUAGAAGUUUAUCUCUUCCAUUUCAUUCUGUAUACAAUGUUUUGUAGUACCCUCCUUGACUAGGGGUAGCUAAAGAAACCUAUUUGGCUGUAUACAUGAUGUGAUCUUCGCAAGAUAAUUUUUCAGAUUACUGAAUGUUCAUUGAUCUUUCUUUAUGCUUCCCGACUUCCCGCUGCUAUUUUCAAAGUCUGGAUGCUUAGUUUUUCAUUGUUGGUUUGGAGCAUUUAGGAAAACUUCUAUUUUUGCAGGCUAGGUGCAUAUGUAAUGGAUAUUCUGGCUCGAAUCUAUUAUUCAUGCCACAGUGGGGUGACCUUCUCUCGAUCCUCUAGCGUAAGCGCGGUGAAGUAGAAAAAUGGCGUGAAAUGGAGGAUGGCUUUAGUUUGUCAGUUUUUUCAUUCCGAUGUAAUUUAUUUAUCGACAGCUUCUUGGCCAAUAUAUUUCCAAAUUAAUACAUUAAGUGUUUUUAUUGUUUACAGGGGAACCUGGUUCUUUUCCUUGGCCCAACUUGUUGUGUUUGCUUAGCUGAUCAUAGCUCUGCAAAACUAGACCAAAUAUAGUUUGCAAGGUAGGGUGUAUUAGUGUAAUGCAAUUUUGUUGUCGAGGUAAUGGCUCAUACUACCAUGGCUUUAUGAAACGACUGCCUCUGUGGCAGUAGGAUGAAAUGCACCAGUAUGAAGCUGGGCCUAACCAUGUUGUAUGUUCUUUCUAGGAGAUCAAAACAUGCUUCUUUUUUGCCCUGCCUACAUCUUGAUGUGGGUAAUGCUACUUUUCUGGGGCCGUGAUAUUACUAUUAGACUAAGGAUCGUUUGGCAAAAAAUCAUAUCAGCCUUCUCUCUAAUAAAUAAACUUAAUAAUAUGUUAUAGCCUUCUCUCUAAUAAGUAAACUUAAUAAUAUGUUAUAGCGCAUCAUUACCAUAUAGAGCAAUGUGACUUGACAAGUGGAUGUUGUAAUUCCUGUUUGCAUAGAAUGGGAGUUGAGGGUUGAGUUGUGCAAUAUUUGGCUAUGGUUAUUCUAUUACAAGUGCAUAGAGAUGUGGAUCUGUAUUGAUUAGUAAUCUUCGAGUUCAUAAGGUGUUGUAAAACUGUGGUUCUCUUAUGAAUUAAGGUUUUUCACUGGUGCCUCGGCUACAAAAAGUUAUAUACUUUGAUCGAGACCAGGAAUUACUUUGGUAUGUCCUGCCAAGGCAUAAUAAUAGAGAAGGUGGUAAAACCUCACCCAUUCCUCAAUUAAUUUGUUCCUGCAGCUAAGGAAGAUGAUAGUGUUUGCUAUAUGUACGUAUAGAUCUCUAGGCACCCCUUUGGUUUAAAACUUAAAUUUACCCAAAAAGUUCUUCGAAAGAAUACAUGCUUCCCUUUUUAGUCAUCCUAUAUGUAGUUGCCAGCUAUUGCUUGAAUAAUGGAACAUGAUUCAUGCUGAUUAUUGUGACCAAGAAAGUGGGCAGAAAUGUUUUAUGUUAUUAGUUAUUGUUUAGUUUCAGCCUCAUUGUGGAGGAAGAUGUCGCGGCAAUGUGGAGACUAGGCGGACUGAAGUGGUCGUCGACUUGCCUCUAUUAGAUUUUUUUUACUAUUUAUGGCCUUAACAUGAAUUCAUAAGAGUGUUUUUAAUGGUAUUUCAUCAAACUUAUCAGUAUUUAUUUUGCAGCAGGUGUUACCUUCUCGACAAAGGGCAGAAAAGGAUAUUUAUGGCAUUAAUAUGAAUUUUUGUGGUGUAUAUGAAUCAUGACAUAUGAAGGAGCAAGGAUUGAGGACAUGUAGAUGCAACUUCUGGAGCAUCUUGUUGACGAAGGUUUCAUAACAUGGUAUUAAAGACGUAGAGGAACAGAGCCACUUAACGCCAUGUUGGUCUCCUGAAGGUCAUCUGAAACCCUUAUCUAUUUUCUUUCAAUCAGCUGGAAUCUAUUGCUAUUGUCUACCAUCCUAGGAAUCAAAACUUCACAAAAGUAAUAAGGUGGGUUGUACUUUAUCCGUGGGUUUCGUAUAAAAAGGAUACAUCUCAGAUUGUUAAACUUCUGGAAAAUUAUAUCUGAAGCAAUGCACCCUGUACCCUGUACCAUACCUAAUGCACCACUCAAUUUUGAACUUUACCCUUCACUUCUAGGACUACGUCAGUUUCUGUUCUUCUCCAUUUUCCUGAUGCCAACUUUUGUAGUGGCUGAGAUUGUUUGUAGUUACGAAUUUGACCAGAUUCUGGGAAUUGUUCCCUGUGAAAUCCCUGGCGGCAACGCCUGCACUAGAAUAAUAUCUUGAUCCUUGGGACUUUGUCUCCCUUGCCUGUACUGGAAUAAUAUCUUGAUCUUUGGGACUAUGUCUCCCUUGAAUGUUGCUUGUGCUUCCAAAGACAGCAUUUUGUCUGGGUUACCUAUUAACAUAGUUGAUGCAGUAUGCAAACAUCCUACAUAGUCAUGAGUUCUAGGAAGUUUCCUCUCCCUUGUGCAGUCAAAAAUUGCUGACAAGUCAUUCUUAUUAUGUCAGAGCUUUUCAUUACAAUAUAUCCUUGCUCGUUCUUUGUUCUCUUUGAUCAACCUUUUUACGGUUAUUGCUAGCGACCAAUUCUGAUUUGUAUUGGUUCAACAUAGUUUAUGAUUAAAUAUAUAAUUGCAAGGUCUUCGUUCUU